UGCCAGCCGCCGCGGUAAUACGAAGGGUGCAAGCGUUGUUCGGAUUUAUUGGGCGUAAAGGGCGCGUAGGCGGAUAAUUAAGUUAGGUGUGAAAUCUCGGGGCCUAACCCCGAAACUGCGCCUAAAACUGAUAAUCUAGGAUCUCGGAGAGGGAAGGGGAAUUUCGCAUGUAGGAGUAAAAUCCGUAGAGAUGCGAAGGAACACCAGAGGCGAAGGCGCCUUCCUGGACGAGUAUCGACGCUGAGGCGCGAAAGCGUGGGUAGCAAACAGGAUUAGAUA
Molecule: ribosomal RNA, 279 nt
Filed under: uncultured bacterium
Lineage: Bacteria
Description: partial 16S ribosomal RNA
Rfam family: Bacterial small subunit ribosomal RNA
Source: RNAcentral